Molecule: ribosomal RNA, 253 nt
Filed under: uncultured bacterium
Lineage: Bacteria
Description: partial 16S ribosomal RNA
Rfam family: Bacterial small subunit ribosomal RNA
Source: RNAcentral
UACGGAGGGGGCUAGCGUUGUUCGGAAUUACUGGGCGUAAAGCGCGCGUAGGCGGACCUGCAAGUCGGGGGUGAAAGCCCGAGGCUCAACCUCGGAACUGCCUUCGAUACUGCGGGUCUCGAGUCCGGGAGAGGUGAGUGGAAUUCCUAGUGUAGAGGUGAAAUUCGUAGAUAUUAGGAAGAACACCAGUGGCGAAGGCGGCGACCUGGGUUGACACUGACGCUGAGGCGCGAAAGCGUGGGGAGCAAACAGG